Molecule: ribosomal RNA, 684 nt
Filed under: Streptococcus mutans
Lineage: Bacteria; Bacillati; Bacillota; Bacilli; Lactobacillales; Streptococcaceae
Description: bacterial SSU rRNA
Rfam family: Bacterial small subunit ribosomal RNA
Source: RNAcentral
AUGGACGAAAGUCUGACCGAGCAACGCCGCGUGAGUGAAGAAGGUUUUCGGAUCGUAAAGCUCUGUUGUAAGUCAAGAACGUGUGUGAGAGUGGAAAGUUCACACAGUGACGGUAGCUUACCAGAAAGGGACGGCUAACUACGUGCCAGCAGCCGCGGUAAUACGUAGGUCCCGAGCGUUGUCCGGAUUUAUUGGGCGUAAGGGGAGCGCAGGCGGUCAGGAAAGUCUGGAGUAAAAGGCUAUGGCUCAACCAUAGUGUGCUCUGGAAACUGUCUGACUUGAGUGCAGAAGGGGAGAGUGGAAUUCCAUGUGUAGCGGUGAAAUGCGUAGAUAUAUGGAGGAACACCAGUGGCGAAAGCGGCUCUCUGGUCUGUCACUGACGCUGAGGCUCGAAAGCGUGGGUAGCGAACAGGAUUAGAUACCCUGGUAGUCCACGCCGUAAACGAUGAGUGCUAGGUGUUAGGCCCUUUCCGGGGCUUAGUGCCGGAGCUAACGCAAUAAGCACUCCGCCUGGGGAGUACGACCGCAAGGUUGAAACUCAAAGGAAUUGACGGGGGCCCGCACAAGCGGUGGAGCAUGUGGUUUAAUUCGAAGCAACGCGAAGACCUUACCAGGUCUUAACAUCCCGAUGCUAUUCUUAGAGAUAGGAAGUUACUUCGGUACAUCGGAGACAGGUGGUGCAUG